This 492-nucleotide ribosomal RNA is filed under the name uncultured bacterium. Its description in RNAcentral is "partial 16S ribosomal RNA". It matches the Rfam family "Bacterial small subunit ribosomal RNA", at positions 30 to 507 of the family's 1533-position model. The record is from RNAcentral.
AGUGAACGCUGGCGGUAGGCCUAACACAUGCAAGUCGAACGGCAGCACAGUAAGAGCUUGCUCUUACGGGUGGCGAGUGGCGGACGGGUGAGGAAUACAUCGGAAUCUACUUUUUCGUGGGGGAUAACGUAGGGAAACUUACGCUAAUACCGCAUACGACCUACGGGUGAAAGCAGGGGAUCUUCGGACCUUGCGCGAUUGAAUGAGCCGAUGUCGGAUUAGCUAGUUGGCGGGGUAAAGGCCCACCAAGGCGACGAUCCGUAGCUGGUCUGAGAGGAUGGUGAGCGACAUGGGAACGGAGACACGGGACAGAGUACUACGGGAGGAAGCAGGGGGGAAGAUGGGACAAUGGGCGGAGUAAUGAUCCAGUCAGACAGAGAGGGUGAAGAAGGACUGUGGGGUGGAAAGGGCUGGGGGGGGGAAAGAAAAGAAGAAGGGGAAGACCCCGGGGGGCUGACGGGACCAAAAGAAGAAGCACAGGCUAACUGCGUG